UCUACUGAUACCAGCAGCAAUCAAAGAUGGGUGGUAUGUCCUCUUUCUUCAUGUCACCAGAUGGGAUGGCUACUUUGUGGAAAAAUGGAGAGAAGAGAAGACUACAGUGAUGGGACCAGGAAACAGGAUAUCUGUGGUCAGAAGUUGCCUCUUAGGACUAAACCAGUGAAAGAUGGGAAAAUCCAUGAUGGAAGCUUGCUUGAACUCUGAAGAAACACUGGCUUCUUUGUAAUCCAAUUUCCAUAUUAAAUGACAGUCCAGCCAGUACCAUGAAAGUUGAAAAUCACCAUGACAAUGACAAGAAGAGACCAAAAAAGGGCAGAAAAGGGGCUCCUUGAUUCCAGGGAAAUCUUCAACCCUCCUUGAUUCCAGGAAAAUCUUUAUCCCUUCCUAAGAAAAGCGAGGUACAAGUUCAAUCUCUGAAGAUGAUGGAGGAAUAUAUCUACGCUUGAAUCCAUCUGGAGUUACAACUUUACACCUCUCUCUUCAAAGUCCUCUUUCCCAAGACAGGCGCCCCUUUCUAGGGUCAUUCAUUCUAAAAUCUAUGUGUAAUUCCAGCCUAUUUGAACUGGAAUAGGAGUAAUCAACCAAAUCAGUGUUGUUUUCAACAGUAAGCUCUAAAGAUGAGAUAUAUUUUAAUAAACAUGUAUCUUUUUUAUUAUA
This 663-nucleotide long non-coding RNA is filed under the name Homo sapiens (human). Its description in RNAcentral is "HSALNT0293201". Lineage: Eukaryota; Metazoa; Chordata; Mammalia; Primates; Hominidae. The record is from RNAcentral.